CCUACGGGUGGCUGCAGUGGGGAAUUUUGGACAAUGGGGGCAACCCUGAUCCAGCCAUGCCGCGUGCGGGAAGAAGGCCUUCGGGUUGUAAACCGCUUUUAGCCGGGAAGAAAAGGGCGAGGCUAAUACCCUUGUCACUUGACGGUACCGGCGGAAUAAGCACCGGCUAACUACGUGCCAGCAGCCGCGGUAAUACGUAGGGUGCGAGCGUUAAUCGGAAUUACUGGGCGUAAAGCGUGCGCAGGCGGUUCGUUGUGUCGGUGGUGAAAGCCCCGGGCUUAACCUGGGAAUGGCCGUCGAAACUGGCGAACUGGAGUGUGGCAGAGGGGGGUGGAAUUCCGCGUGUAGCAGUGAAAUGCGUAGAGAUGCGGAGGAACACCGAUGGCGAAGGCAGCCCCCUGGGCUGACACUGACGCUCAGGCACGAAAGCGUGGGGAGCA
Molecule: ribosomal RNA, 440 nt
Filed under: uncultured bacterium
Lineage: Bacteria
Description: bacterial SSU rRNA
Rfam family: Bacterial small subunit ribosomal RNA
Source: RNAcentral